UGCCAAAGGAAUCUACCACCCACCCC
RNAcentral lists this non-coding RNA (26 nucleotides) under Mus musculus (house mouse). Lineage: Eukaryota; Metazoa; Chordata; Mammalia; Rodentia; Muridae. The record is from RNAcentral.